This 238-nucleotide ribosomal RNA is filed under the name uncultured bacterium. RNAcentral describes it as "partial 16S ribosomal RNA". It matches the Rfam family "Bacterial small subunit ribosomal RNA", at positions 15 to 244 of the family's 1533-position model. The record is from RNAcentral.
GAUCCUGGCUCAGGACGAACGCUGGCGGCGUGCCUAAUACAUGCAAGUCGAGCGGAGGUUAUUGAGUAGUAAUACGAGAUGACCUUAGCGGCGGACGGGUGAGUAACGCGUGAGCAACCUGGCCUAUACAGGGGGAUAACAGGGAGAAAUUCCUGCUAAUACCGCAUAAGACCACAGUAUCGCAUGGUACUGGGGUCAAAGGAGAGAUUCGGUAUAGGAUGGGCUCGCGUCCCAUUAG